GACGAACGCUGGCGGCGUGCUUAACACAUGCAAGUCGAACGGAAAGGCCCUGCUUUUGUGGGGUGCUCGAGUGGCGAACGGGUGAGUAACACGUGAGUAACCUGCCCUUGACUUUGGGAUAACUUCAGGAAACUGGGGCUAAUACCGGAUAGGAGCUCCUGCUGCAGGGUGGGGGUUGGAAAGUUUCGGCGGGUGGGGAUGGACUCGCGGCUAAUCAGCUUGUUGGUGGGGUAGUGGCUUACCAAGGCUUUGACGGGUAGCCGGCCUGAGAGGGUGACCGGCCACAUUGGGACUGCGAUACGGCCCAGACUCCUACGGGAGGCAGCAGUGGGGAAUAUUGCACAAUGGGCGGAAGCCUGAUGCAGCAACGCCGCGUGCGGGAUGACGGCCUUCGGGUUGUAAACCGCUUUCGCCUGCGACGAAGCGUGAGUGACGGUAAUGGGUAAAGAAGCACCGGCUAACUACGUG
RNAcentral lists this ribosomal RNA (468 nucleotides) under uncultured bacterium. RNAcentral's name for it is "partial 16S ribosomal RNA". It matches the Rfam family "Bacterial small subunit ribosomal RNA", at positions 28 to 507 of the family's 1533-position model. The record is from RNAcentral.